GUCGAACGAGAAAGUGGAGCAAUCCAUGAGUAAAGUGGCGACCGGGUGAGUAACACGUGACCAAUCUACCUUCGAGUGGGGGAUAACUCCGGGAAACCGGGGCUAAUACCGCAUAACAUCUUUGGAUCGGAAGAACUGGAGAUCAAAGGAGCAAUUCGCUUGAAGAGGAGGUCGCGGCUGAUUAGCUAGUUGGCGGGGUAAUGGCCCACCAAGGCGAAGAUCGGUAGCCGGCCUGAGAGGGCGCACGGCCACACUGGAACUGAAACACGGUCCAGACUCCUACGGGAGGCAGCAGUGGGGAAUUUUGCGCAAUGGGGGAAACCCUGACGCAGCAACGCCGCGUGGAGGAUGAAGUCCCUUGGGACGUAAACUCCUUUCGACCGGGACGAUUAUGACGGUACCGGUGGAAGAAGCCCCGGCUAACUUCGUGCCAGCAGCCGCGGUAAUACGAGGGGGGCGAGCGUUGUUCGGAAUUAUUGGGCGUAAAGGGCGCGUAGGCGGUGCGGUAAGUCACCUGUGAAAUCUCCCGGCUCAACUGGGAGCCUGCAGGCGAAACUGCCGUGCUGGAGUAUGGGAGAGGUGCGUGGAAUUCCCGGUGUAGCGGUGAAAUGCGUAGAUAUCGGGAGGAAC
RNAcentral lists this ribosomal RNA (630 nucleotides) under uncultured Acidobacteriota bacterium. RNAcentral's name for it is "bacterial SSU rRNA". It matches the Rfam family "Bacterial small subunit ribosomal RNA", at positions 61 to 707 of the family's 1533-position model. Lineage: Bacteria; Pseudomonadati; Acidobacteriota. The record is from RNAcentral.